RNAcentral lists this ribosomal RNA (626 nucleotides) under uncultured bacterium. RNAcentral's name for it is "bacterial SSU rRNA". It matches the Rfam family "Bacterial small subunit ribosomal RNA", at positions 216 to 842 of the family's 1533-position model. The record is from RNAcentral.
CGGUAUGGGAUGGGGAUGCGUUCCAUUAGUUAGUUGGCGGGGUAACGGCCCACCAAGACAACGAUGGAUAGGGGUUCUGAGAGGAAGGUCCCCCACAUUGGAACUGAGACACGGUCCAAACUCCUACGGGAGGCAGCAGUGAGGAAUAUUGGUCAAUGGACGAGAGUCUGAACCAGCCAAGUAGCGUGAAGGAUGACUGCCCUAUGGGUUGUAAACUUCUUUUAUAUGGGAAUAAAAUGUUCCACGUGUGGGAUUUUGUAUGUACCAUAUGAAUAAGGAUCGGCUAACUCCGUGCCAGCAGCCGCGGUAAUACGGAGGAUCCGAGCGUUAUCCGGAUUUAUUGGGUUUAAAGGGAGCGUAGGUGGAUUGUUAAGUCAGUUGUGAAAGUUUGCGGCUCAACCGUAAAAUUGCAGUUGAAACUGGCAGUCUUGAGUACAGUAGAGGUGGGCGGAAUUCGUGGUGUAGCGGUGAAAUGCUUAGAUAUCACGAAGAACUCCGAUUGCGAAGGCAGCUCACUGGACUGCAACUGACACUGAGGCUCGAAAGUGUGGGUAUCAAACAGGAUUAGAUACCCUGGUAGUCCACACAGUAAACGAUGAAUACUCGCUGUUUGCGAUAUACAGUAA